GAUGAAGAACGUAGCGAAAUGCGAUAAGUAGUGUGAAUUGCAGAAUUCAGUGAAUCAUCGAAUCUUUGAACGCACAUUGCGCCCUUUGGUAUUCCUUAGGGCAUGCCUGUUCGAGCGUCAUUUGAAACCUCAAGCUCAGCUUGGUGUUGGGUGUCUGUCCCCGCCUCACCGCGGGGACUCGCCUCAAAAUCAUUGGCGGCCGGUACGUUAGCUUCGAGCGCAGCAGAAACGCGAACUCGAGGCCCGGCGGAUCGGCGACCAGAAGUCACUUCUUCACAGUUUGACCUCGGAUCAGGUAGGGAUACCCGCUGAACUUAAGCAUAUCAAUAAGCGGAGGA
RNAcentral lists this unclassified non-coding RNA (338 nucleotides) under soil metagenome. RNAcentral describes it as "partial contains 5.8S ribosomal RNA, internal transcribed spacer 2, and large subunit ribosomal RNA". The stretch from base 1 to 120 matches the Rfam family "5.8S ribosomal RNA", at positions 35 to 154 of the family's 154-position model. The record is from RNAcentral.